CCCCACACAAGGCCCCAGGGUCCCCUUAGAUGUCUGAGAGGGACAAAUGUGGAGCCCCACCCGGCUGCCUGACUGGGGGCAGGUGGGGCUUCUUCUCCACCAGGACUUUAGAGCAGCAUCAUUGAGCCUGUCAAACCUCAGGCUCCCUUUUCGUAGAGGUGGAAACCUUCCUACUUUUUUAAUGCUGUUUGAAAUUUCAAAAUAAUAUUCUACGUUUGAAAAAAGUGAGCGUAACAUUGAAUGUGCUUUUCCCUCCACAAGUGUCCUGUCCUCCAGCCUGGAGGGUCUGACACCCUCCCAGGGGAGAGGCACCCCAGUUGGAGUCACAGACUAGUGGCCGUGGUGGAAUGGUCACAGAAAUACCCGGUGACAGGCGCACCCCAGUGACAUCUGGCCCUUGCCUGAGACAGGCCGGCUCUGGGAACCAUCCCUGGCUGUCUCCUCCGGCUCGCCGUCCCUUCCUUGUCUGGGUUGGUCAUUCCCUUGUACUCAGUGUCUGCAUUGUCACUCUGCAGUCGUGGCCGGACUUAGUGCUCCAUCCACACAGGCCAGCGUUCUUCCCCACGAGGGACUGUGUCAUGGGCAUCUCUUGACACCCACGCUGAGCCCAUACCAGGCACCCACCAUGUCCUGCACAGAUGCCUGUUGAAGGAAUGAGUGAAUUCCUUGAGACCCAGCUGUGUCUCAUGGGGUCCCCCUUUGAUGGUACAUUAAUAAAUUUGCUGGUUUUUAAAACCUCCCUCUCAGCUUCAGGUUGAAUAACCCAUUUCCACUCCUUUGCCCAAAUUCUUGUUUACAGCCACGGCUGCCUCCACUCAUGCUCCUGUCUGUCACCCACCCUGCAUGCCCCCGGGGCCCAUCAAGACAGCUCACAUCUUUGUUUCCCAUGACUGCCUAGAAAAGAGGCAGAAACUGAGCACAGAGUCUCCGUCCUGAGAGAUGAUGCUGAGGAUAACCUGGACCUGGAAGGGUUAACCGGGGCCGAUGCAGAUAGAGAAACAGCCACUCCCCACCUCCAGGCAGCCAGCAGCUUCAUCCUGACCGGGUAUCCAGGGCCCAUCAGAGAGUGGGGCACAAGCACAGAGCUUUGUCCCAAAACAAUCGGAUCUUUCCUCGUUGAAGACUCGAGUUCCAGCGUCGGGAACACACCGUGCAACGUGAAAUGCACACGUGUAGGCUGACUGCUUCACAGUGGCUCUGUGCCUGUGCUGAGAGCAGCUGGACAUGGUCAUGUCUUCUUCCCCUGUUUUCCUGCGGUCAGGGUUGGGGGGACGAGCAUCACUGCCACCUGCUUCCUAAUGAGAGACCGUCUCACCGACACACUUCAGUUGAUUGGAACUCUUGGGCAAGUCCUUUUCCAGAUGCGUUCUGCUCUUUCGUCCACUCCUCCGUUUGAUGUGACCCUCAUUGAGGACAAAGGGCUGUGCCUUGCUCAUCCUCAUCAUUCCUAGAACAGUGCCUUCCAUCUGGUAUUGAAUAAAUGCUUGUUGAAUUGAAGCAUCAAAUAUUUUCAAA
Camelus dromedarius (Arabian camel) is the source of this 1515-nucleotide long non-coding RNA. RefSeq lists it as uncharacterized. NCBI's taxonomy places the organism in Eukaryota, Metazoa, Chordata, Mammalia, Artiodactyla, Camelidae. The record is from RefSeq and is a predicted model, not a curated record. The transcript is spliced from 2 exons.